RNAcentral lists this ribosomal RNA (497 nucleotides) under uncultured bacterium. Its description in RNAcentral is "partial 16S ribosomal RNA". It matches the Rfam family "Bacterial small subunit ribosomal RNA", at positions 28 to 507 of the family's 1533-position model. The record is from RNAcentral.
GAUGAACGCUGGCGGCGUGCCUAAUACAUGCAAGUCGAGCGAACAGACGAGGAGCUUGCUCCUCUGACGUUAGCGGCGGACGGGUGAGUAACACGUGGAUAACCUACCUAUAAGACUGGGAUAACUUCGGGAAACCGGAGCUAAUACCGGAUAAUAUAUUGAACCGCAUGGUUCAAUAGUGAAAGACGGUUUUGCUGUCACUUAUAGAUGGAUCCGCGCCGCAUUAGCUAGUUGGUAAGGUAACGGCUUACCAAGGCAACGAUGCGUAGCCGACCUGAGAGGGUGGUCGGCCACACUGGAACUGAGACACGGUCCAGACUCCUGCGGGAGGCAGCAGUAGGGAAUCUGCCGCAAUAGGCGAAAGCCUGACGGAGCAACGCCGCGUGAGUGAUGACGGUCUUCGGAUCGUAAAACUCUGUUAUUAGGGAAAAACAAAUGUGUAAGUAACUAUGCACGUCUUGACGGUACCUAAUCAGAAAGCCACGGCUAACUACGUG